RNAcentral lists this ribosomal RNA (499 nucleotides) under uncultured bacterium. Its description in RNAcentral is "partial 16S ribosomal RNA". It matches the Rfam family "Bacterial small subunit ribosomal RNA", at positions 28 to 507 of the family's 1533-position model. The record is from RNAcentral.
GACGAACGCUGGCGGCGUGCUUAACACAUGCAAGUCGAACGGGCCUGUCUUCUUUUUUGGGGGUGGGUUGAGUGGCGAACGGGUGAGUAUCACGUGAGUAACCUGCCCUUCGGUCCUGGAUAACCGCUUGAAAGGGCGGCUAAUACGGGGUGGUCCGGUUGGUCCGCAUGGGCUGGUCGGGAUAGAUUCACUGUUUUUGGUGUUUCGGCGGGGGAUGGGCUCGCGGCCUAUCAGCUUGUUGGUGGGGUGAUGGCCUACCAAGGCGGUGACGGGUAGCCGGCCUGAGAGGGUGGGCGGCCACACUGGGACUGAGAUACGGCCCAGACUCCUGCGGGAGGCAGCAGUGGGGGGUAUUGCACAAGGGGCGGAAGCCUGAUGCAGCGACGUCGCGUGAGGGAGGGAGGCCUUCGGGUUGUGAACCUCUGUUUCCGGUGGUGAAGGCCCUGUCCGUGUGGUGGGGUUGACGGUAGCCGGGGAUGAAGCGCCGGCUAACUACGUG